Tympanuchus pallidicinctus (lesser prairie-chicken) is the source of this 1479-nucleotide long non-coding RNA. RefSeq lists it as uncharacterized. The transcript has 9 exons. The record is from RefSeq and is a predicted model, not a curated record. NCBI's taxonomy places the organism in Eukaryota, Metazoa, Chordata, Aves, Galliformes, Phasianidae.
AAACAGAACCUCUGUGAUUCUUCUUUUUUCCCUACGAAGUGUUCUGGGUGAAGUUUGUGGAGAAAAUCUUCCCUGCCAGAUGCUGUCUACAUCGUGGGUUUCCUCAGUUCAGAGCUGAACCUCCCACCAGUUGCGUGAUCUUCGGGCUAUGGGAACAUGGCAAGUGAAGAAAAUUUAUAGGAACAGAGCGAAGUUGGCCAACAGUUCAAAUGUUCUCUCUUGUAUUGAUGAAGGUAUACAGCCACAAUCUCAGAUUAUGAUGUAUCUGCACCUUUGCUUCUGCCAAUAUUAUUUGCUGCACUCAUCCAGCUGCAGAGAGACUCUACUGGAGGAAAGAUUGUGCCCAAGGACCUCCAUCCAAUGCCAGAUGCUACGUCUGGACCUUAUGCCAUGAAGGGUAUCACUGAGCAGUUUUUCUCUCCUCUACCUGCACAGAGCCGAGCCUGAUUAGUGGUGAAGGCCCGCAGCGACCAAGAAAGGUAUUAAUGUUCCAUUUCUCCUGCACCACCUCCUUCUCAGAAUUGGAAAAAAGAAAAGUAGAAGUAACGAGAAUAGCCUUGCUCUUUUUCUCCCUUCCAAGUAGAAACAAAGAAGUUUGUCUGCGAGGCUUUUACUGAAGCUUAGCCAAAGAUCUGGAUGUGCUCCGCCUAUGAUCUGGACGUGGAUAGGGUUUCUCUGUCUGUGCUUCUGGCAAAUGUGGUCUGAUUCAGUCAUAGCUGUAAACAAAUGUCAGCACCUUUACUGGGAAAUGUAGUGACCAGGAUUAGACAAACGAGAGGGCUGGAAAUGGGUCUGCUUCAAGUCUUACCAUGUACCUUGUGGAGCGACAUCUGGAGAUGGUGGAGCCUGGUCUCUUAGUUUCUGCCCCUUUGGUGGGGAUGGGCUUGUCCCACCAGCUAAAGAGGACAGACCCUUUGUAGGAAGUGCUCCCAUAUGGACAGCAGAAAAUGGGAAGGUUUGGUGUGCUCAUGGGGCUGGAUCACUGCUGCAAAGGGAAGUACCUCCACAGGAUUAUUUUAUUUUGGGCAAAACUGUUUCAAAUUCUUUUUUUUUUCUAUUUUUUUUUUCUAAUUUAUACUUCCCCCAAAGUAUUUAAUUUGGGGAUGAAACAAUUAUAAUAAUGAAACCCAAUACUCACUAAAAAAAAUAAUUCCUAAUUGUGUUUAUCGGACUCAGUUUCCUAUAGCAUCCAUUUGCAGGAUGUCGGGAUACGACUGGGUGCAUGAAAAGGACCAGAUGUAAGAAAAAUCAAACAAAACCUGUGCUGGCUUUCUGAGACAAGGAGCUGGCUGUGGGUGCCUGUUUCCCACACCGCAGCAUGGGAGGGCUCCUGCAUUAGCUAACACCUCCACCAGCCACGGUGCAGGGAAAGGUGGCCUUCGUGCACAGGGAGCAGAUGCUCCACAGCUGAAGCCUUUCAAAGAAGACACCUACAGAGCCCCUGGCCUUGUGGAAUAACUGGAUUGUACAUAAAUAGUC